This 96-nucleotide ribosomal RNA is filed under the name Staphylococcus aureus. RNAcentral also lists the same sequence under 1 other name. Lineage: Bacteria; Bacillati; Bacillota; Bacilli; Caryophanales; Staphylococcaceae. The record is from RNAcentral.
GGUCACACCUGUUCCCAUGCCGAACACAGAAGUUAAGCUCCUUAGCGUCGAUGGUAGUCGAACUUACGUUCCGCUAGAGUAGAACGUUGCCAGGCA